This 468-nucleotide ribosomal RNA is filed under the name uncultured bacterium. RNAcentral describes it as "partial 16S ribosomal RNA". It matches the Rfam family "Bacterial small subunit ribosomal RNA", at positions 28 to 507 of the family's 1533-position model. The record is from RNAcentral.
GACGAACGCUGGCGGCGUGCUUAACACAUGCAAGUCGAACGGAAAGGCCCUGCUUUUGUGGGGUGCUCGAGUGGCGAACGGGUGAGUAACACGUGAGUAACCUGCCCUUGCCUUUGGGAUAACUUCAGGAAACUGGGGCUAAUACCGGAUAGGAGCUCCUGCUGCUUGGUGGGGGUUGGAAAGUUUCGGAGGUUGGGGAUGGACCCGCGGCUUGUCAGCUUGUUGGUGGGGUAGUGGCUUAGCAAGGCUUUGGCGGGUCGCCGGCCUGAGAGGGUGACCCGCCACAGUGGGACUGAGAAACCGCCCAGACUGCUACGGCAGGCAUCAGCGGGGAAUAUUGCAAAAUGGGCGGAAGCCGGAUGCAGCGUCGCCGCGUGCGGGAUGACGGCCGUCGGGUUGGAAACCGCUUUAGCCUGUGAAGAUGACUGAGUGACGGUAAUGGGUAAAGAAGCACCGGCUAACUACGUG